AGCGAGAGCGGGAGAGAGAUUUCCACACGCGGGGGGCUGGGGUCGGCAGGAGGGAGGCAGUCCUUGCGACCUCAUUCCGCGGGGCUGCCCCAGGAAGGCGACAGGAUCUAGAAGCUGCAUCAUGCGCCGGGGAGGGGGUGCCCUAAGCAAAGCGGGCCCAGUGUAGACAAGCCCCUUCCUCCCGUGCAACAUGGAUGCUGAAGAGUUUCACACCGGACGGGGCCGCGUGCUCCUGGAUCCCAAGCGUCUCAGGGUCCUCGGUGGGGUGCGGCGGCCAGAGGGACCUCUCAGCCGUUCGGUGUCUGAUGUCACCCAGCGUGGAGGAGCCCGAGUCUUGCAGCGGAGACGGAAUUUGCUAUCAUCUUGGAAGAAUGAGGGCUUGGAAUGGGCUGUAUGUUGAUUGGAAGGAAAUAAAAAUCGGAUGAUCCUGUUUCACUGAGGGAGGAGAUCUGCUCCGAGAUGCCAAGUCACCGGCCCCUGGUCGCACAGCACGUCCAUGAUAACGGUGGGAUUUGGAACGGAGCCUGCGGUUCGCACCCCUCCCCCGCACACCAUUCGCGCACCUUCCGGCCCCGCUCGGGGUGCAAGUACCGCUUGGGGCUUGGGUGUAGGGCAGCAGGGAGAGACCGGGGCGGGGGAGGAUUCCGGGCGCCUGGUGGCCGUGACGUGUGAUGUAGGUUUGCCAGGAGUUCUAGAAAGUUCAGCAGGCUGCCCCCCGGGGAGCCUCUCGGAGGCUCCACAAGUAACGGCUGUUUUCUGAACAAGUUAUCAUCCCCUGUCAUCUCCCCGCCCCAGGCUGGGCGGGAAGAGGCCGUGAAUCACCCAACGCUUUUAGGCCAGGCCGGUUAAUUCACCUCUCUGAGCCUCAGUGUCCUCGUCUCUGAAAUGGGCCCCACGACACGGUUGCAGGUACAGUUCGGCGAGAGGACCGGUGGGGACUCAGCCCCGGGCCCUGGAGCAAACAGAAGAAGCUCGAUGUAACACUGGCAUCUUCUCGCAACGGCGAAUCUUGCUGUUCCGCGCGACUCAGCGGCUCGCUCUUCUCUCAGGGACACGCCAAAGUGACACUCGCGCGCGCGCCCCAGGCCACGCGUACAAGGAGGUGCGUCGCAGCCCUGUUCACCGUAGCAACAUCUGGAGCCAGCCGUUCCGCUCACUGGAAAGAAAACGGAGCCCUGCCAUCACUUGUGGAACAUUUUCAGAACCCUGAAAGGAAACCCCCAGAGCGCCGAGCCCUCUCGCACCGUUUUCCACCCGCAUGGAGAGACCACAGUCUGUUUAGGUGCUCGUCGGUCGAUGGGCGUUUGGGUUGUUCCCGCUUUUUUUUUUCUUUUUUCAUGUUUUUCAAGAGAGAGAGGGAGACAGAGGAGGGGAGUCGGGGAGGGG
Molecule: long non-coding RNA, 1386 nt
Organism: Herpailurus yagouaroundi (jaguarundi)
Lineage: Eukaryota; Metazoa; Chordata; Mammalia; Carnivora; Felidae
Exons: 2
Source: RefSeq, a predicted model, not a curated record